CCGGCACGGGUGAGUAACACGUAUCCAACCUGCCGUCUACUCUUGGACAGCCUUCUGAAAGGAAGAUUAAUACAAGAUGGCAUCAUGAGUCCGCAUGUUCACAUGAUUAAAGGUAUUCCGGUAGACGAUGGGGAUGCGUUCCAUUAGAUAGUAGGCGGGGUAACGGCCCACCUAGUCUUCGAUGGAUAGGGGUUCUGAGAGGAAGGUCCCCCACAUUGGAACCGAGACACGGUCCAA
Molecule: ribosomal RNA, 237 nt
Filed under: uncultured bacterium
Lineage: Bacteria
Description: partial 16S ribosomal RNA
Rfam family: Bacterial small subunit ribosomal RNA
Source: RNAcentral